RNAcentral lists this small nucleolar RNA (103 nucleotides) under Prolemur simus (greater bamboo lemur). RNAcentral's name for it is "Small nucleolar RNA U13 (ENSPSMG00000001881.1)". It matches the Rfam family "Small nucleolar RNA U13". Lineage: Eukaryota; Metazoa; Chordata; Mammalia; Primates; Lemuridae. The record is from Rfam by way of RNAcentral.
AUCCUUUUGUAGUCACAAGUGUGAUGAUUGGGUUUUCAUGCUCAUGUGUGAGAUGUGCCUCUCUCAAACCUUGUUAUGAUGUCAGCACAUUACCCAUCUGACA